RNAcentral lists this unclassified non-coding RNA (401 nucleotides) under soil metagenome. RNAcentral's name for it is "partial contains 5.8S ribosomal RNA, internal transcribed spacer 2, and large subunit ribosomal RNA". The stretch from base 1 to 121 matches the Rfam family "5.8S ribosomal RNA", at positions 35 to 154 of the family's 154-position model. The record is from RNAcentral.
GAUGAAGAACGCAGCGAAAUACGAUAAGUAAUGUGAAUUGCAGAAUUCAGUGAAUCAUCGAAUCUUUGAACGCACCUUGCGCCCUUUGGCUAUUCUGAAGGGCAUGCCUGUUUGAGUAUCAUGAACACCUCAACUCUCAUGGUUUGCCAUGAUGAGCUUGGACUUUGGGGGUCUUGCUGGCCUACGGUCGGCUCCUCUCAAAUGAAUCAGCUUGCCAGUGUUUGGUGGCAUCACGGGUGUGAUAACUAUCUACGCUUGUGGUUUCCCACCAGGUAACCUUCAGUGAUGGAGGUUCGCUGGGGCUCAUAAAUGUCCCUCCACAGUGAGGACAGCUUUUGAACGUUUGAUCUCAAAUCAGGUAGGACUACCCGCUGAACUUAAGCAUAUCAAUAAGCGGAGGA